Molecule: long non-coding RNA, 1020 nt
Organism: Hibiscus syriacus
Lineage: Eukaryota; Viridiplantae; Streptophyta; Magnoliopsida; Malvales; Malvaceae
Exons: 3
Source: RefSeq, a predicted model, not a curated record
UACAGCUUUCCCUUUUGUUUCAAAUAAGCCUUCCCCUAUAAAACAACAAGGUUUCAACUCUAUCUUCCCCAAAACCGAGCCAUCCGUUCGACCCAACUCCAACCAGUCUUGGUGUUCACUGCCACCUCCAUCGGCACCGUUGCCAUCUCGUGACCCCAACCCCGACCACCAAAAAACAAAACUCGUUGUCGUUCACCGUAAAAUAAAGAAAUACCAUUUGAAUGCCUUAAAGUCGAUUCUGACCAUCAUUCGUCGUAGGCGUCACCGUCGGUUCUAGUCGACACAUCGUCUUAGCCCGACUAAAUCAUUACAGAUCACGCCUUGCAAACCACCACCGUUCACCGAGAAGAGCUCAUCAAACCUUGUCGAAAAACCCAAAACUUACCUUCGAUUUUCGGUGAUUUGGACAGAUUCCGAAAUCCGUAGAACAUAUGUCUAGCACAAUCGCGCUCCACGUUGUCUCGUGAGCAAAACGCAAUCGUGGAUUAUGUAUUACUAUAUAUAGUAGAGAGACCGAUGCUCAGUAAAUCUUUGGAUCGACCCAUUUUGCAAGGUUCAACCCCAAUUAGGGUGAUAAUUCUUUAUGGACCUAAGGCAACCCUUGGGUGGGCUCCUAGGCCCAAUGGGCCUAGUGGUAAGAUCUUAUGGACCCUAAGACAGUCCCUUAGGGUGGCUCUUUUGUUUUGUCCUAUAGGUAGGUCUUUAUGGACCUGGGGCACUCCCUAAGAUAGAUCAUAUGCUACGGUUUGGGUAAGUCUUUAUGGAACCAAUGUGUUCCCUUAAGUUGGCUCCCAAGUCCAAUGGGUCUAGGGUGAGCCCUUACGGAUGCAGUUAUAAGGAAUUGCAUAUAGUAUUCGAUCAGAGGGUAACUCUAUGUUUCAAACAAAAACUAUACUGCUCUUUUUACUCUAUGUAUUCUGAAAUCAUAUUUGAAAUUUAUCCACAUGUUUUAUUCGACACUUGUUGGAACACACUGGACUCCCUUAAUUUGUUGUAAUGUUUUUAUCUUUCGAAAUGUCU